AUUUAACCCGACAGUUUAACUAAGUGUUAUUAUACUUAUAUAUACAAUUACAACAGUGAAUACAUUUCACUUACGCAACUGCAGACAGCUGCUUAAUACAGUCACACUUGUCUUGACUUGGCUAUUCAAACAUACCAACGCUUACCAUCUCCCAUUGGAAUACUACGCUACGUAUGCAAAGUAAAACACGUGAUUUCUUCACUGARAGUCGAGUGGGUUCAAUCCCCMCAGGCUUAUCAUCACAUAAUACCUUUAUGGAUAACUCMGGGAAAGUUUGGCUAAUACGUACGAGUCACUACUUACUUUACAAAUCGCCGCCGCAUAAUACAACAUGCAUUACUUUUCGUUUGCGCGCGCGCGUGAUUUUAAAAACAAUUGUAUUAUUAAUUAAUAUUACUGCCUUCGUAUCCAAGCGCUAAAGCUUGCGUUGACACGUAGUUAUAAUUAUAUUUACAAUGAACUAUAUACUCAGCACUCAAUGGUAAACUUAUGCGUCUGUGUACUUCUGUCUUCGGACAAUGCACUUACGUAUGAUUCGUUUAAACUGCAACAUGAGAGACAUUGAGCACGCAGUCUUUUGGUCACUUGUGACUGAUUGACAUCUACGCUGAGCAGACUUUGAGAUUCUUUUAAUUUCGAAGCAUGUCAUACAAGCAUCUACAGCAUCAAGUCACAGGGUUGGCAAGUGUAUUAUUGAACCUUCAAAGCAGUCACGCAUACGGAAGAGUAGUUUCUGAUCCCAUAGAAGGAGCACCGUACAAUGAGAGACCGCUCUUAGUUCUAAGGAACGCAGCAGGCGCGUAAAUUGCCCAAUGCUAGUACCCUACUAUCAUUAAAUAAACAAUUUCGCAGACAUACGCUAUAUUAACACUUACUAAACUAUCAUAUAUACUAAUACAAUUAACCUUGUUACGCUGCGCACUCAAAUUAUUUAAUAAAUCAUUUACUGAGGCAGUGACAAGCUGUAACGGUUGAGUAUAAUAAUGACGAGUGUCUGGCAUUGCCGCUGCCUUCGGGUUAGCUUGGCAAUAUUGCCGACGCUUUGUGUGCUCAAUUGGAAUGCGGUGAGUUUAAGCAACUCAGAACCUUUGGAUGGUAGUUCUUUGAUCUACUANNNNNNNNNNNNNNNNNNNNNNNNNNNNNNNNNNNNNNNNNNNNNNNNNNNNNNNNNNNNNNNNNNNNNNNNNNNNNNNNNNNNUGUUGCGGUUAAGAGGCUCGUAGUUGGAUUGAACAAUUUUGUAAUUCUUACGCUCGCGUAGCUUACAAUUGUACUAAGCGAUGAAUCAUGUGCAUAUGUCGAAUGUUACUAUACACACGUUACUUUAAACAACGCAUAUCGCGCCUUACAUCGCUUAUAUUCGAUAUAUUUAAUUUUAUACGAAUUAUACCGUGACAAGCUCGAAACGCGAGAUUAUCUAUUUCAACACUGUGAACAAAUCAGAGUGUAUCAAACAUGUCGUAUUUGAAUGCGCAUUGAAUGUCUUAUCAUGGGAUGUUGCCUUUCUAUUAUAUAUGAGACCGUGGGGAAAAUCUACACACUUUUCACUCGUAUUCAUCUAGAGCAGACACACUCUAUAGAGAGUCUCUUUUUGUUAAAAUAUAUAUGUCGRKGGRGAUAGKGRKAGUCAACAGCUGYGGUGGGAGAGAUGARAUAUUCAUUGACUCUAGCAAGACUACCAAAAGAGAAAGCAGCUGGCUAGGCUAUACACUUUGUGAGAUUGUGUAUUUAUCCAUUUGCACCGMGMGUGUGUGACGYGAUGCGKCUGUCGUAUAUWCUAAACACACAUAUCAUCUCUCUAUACACARMAGCAGCACKCRCRWGCGCGCUCASWSACGUCUCAACUGAAAUAAAUUCCAAWAAUAAUAACAACAAUACACUUUACAAUGAAGAACGAAGGUUGGGGGAUCAAAGAGGAUCAGAUACCCUCGUCGUCCCAUUAAUUACAUCAAACGAUGGGCUCUCAAUUGCAUUAUUAAUAAUAAUAGCAUAUGACCUCAACCUACUAAAUCUUAUUAACUCUGGCUUGAGCUCGUAGUUCGCUACGCUCGCCUAAACUUAUAUUGAUUUCUAUGUACGGUCUCAAUGAAGACAUAUGCAUUCUGUACUAAAAUUUAGCGUGUCUCGCUAUACAACUAAACGUAUCAAUCUGAUCUUUAUUGUAUCUAGUUAUUGAACUUUAGUUUGCGACACUUGAUUUUCGGAGCUUUGCGCUCAAUUCUGGUGAGAUGUAAGCACCAUGUUACGUGACCCGCAACGUAUACCUAUCGGGUAUUUCGCUUGUCGUGCGUCACUAACACUACAUUUAUUUUGGUGUGAAGCACGCUUUAGGCACGCGCUUACUGCAGAAAUGUCUGAGACAUUCCCCUCCGGGGGUAGUAUGCACGCAAGUGUGAAACUUGAAGGAAUUGACGGAAGGGCACCACAAGAACGCGUGGAGCAUGUGGCUUAAUUUGACUCAACGCGGGAAAUCUUACCGGGUCCGGACACACUGAGGAUUGACAGGCAAUAUUACAGUUUGAACUCUUUACUGAGUAUCGAUUGUAUGUUAAAUAUGCUAGUCCUUUCAUGAUUAUGUGAUAGGUGGUGCAUGGCCGUUCUUAGUUCGUGGAGUGAUCUGUCUGCUUAAUUGCGUUUCACUAAGGAACUAUAUUAUUCAUGUAUGUUGUUAGCGCAUUGACCCCUCGUUUUCUCUGUAACUACUUUCUCCUCAAGAGAUUGUACGCGCAUUUUGAAUGUGAGCGUGCGUCUUUGAUUCUUACGUCUAGCUCAUACGAUUAGUUCCUGAAAGCAACGAACGUGACCGCAACCUCUUGUUGCCUUCAUUUCCAAUACGCGUGAAUAUAUUUGUUUUCGAUCAAGUAUCUGAAGUGUAUACGGAGGCUUUCUAAACUAGAGGGACCGCUGUUAUCUUCUUAAACCAGAGGAAGGUUGCGGCAAUAACAGGUCUGUGAUGCCCUUAGAUGUUCCGGGCUGCACACGUGCUACAAUGAUUAUUGCAGUGAGCAUCUCAUUUAAAAUUUAAUACAUCGCAAGCGCGAGUCCGUUUGUUCUUUGUUUCAGUUCAUGCUGUUCAAAGCUUCAAAUGAGUAUCUCUGCGCGCGAUAAAGCCUGCUUUGAAAGUUUAGUGGGUAAUCAAUUAGAAGUAAUGAUUUCCUAAAUUUAUCGCACUUAUAUGUAUGGCGUCUUUACCCAGCUAGCCUUUUGUGCUAGAAUCCGUGUGUAUUGACGAUUGAUUUCUUGUAAAUCAAUUGCCUAAUCUUAUGGUACCUUACGUGCAAUUGUCAAUUCAUGGUGGGGACAGACCAUUGUUAAUUGUUGGUUUCGGUUUUAACUAGGAAUGCCUUGUACGGGUCUUUGGUUCAACAGACCCCCCGGAAUACGUCCCUGCCCUUUGUACCCCCCCCCCGUCGCUUUUACCGAUGGACUUCUUUGGGAGUUUGAGGGACUGGGUCGUGCU
RNAcentral lists this ribosomal RNA (3458 nucleotides) under Rupertina stabilis. RNAcentral's name for it is "small subunit ribosomal RNA". The stretch from base 1230 to 3458 matches the Rfam family "Eukaryotic small subunit ribosomal RNA". The record is from RNAcentral. Lineage: Eukaryota; Foraminifera; Rotaliida; Cibicididae.